This is a long non-coding RNA of Chrysoperla carnea, 305 nucleotides long. RefSeq lists it as uncharacterized. The record is from RefSeq and is a predicted model, not a curated record. The transcript has 3 exons. Lineage: Eukaryota; Metazoa; Arthropoda; Insecta; Neuroptera; Chrysopidae.
UACAUUGAAAAACAUUCAAGUUUUUCCUGUGUUUAAAUGUUAAAAUACAAAAAUUAAAUUAAAACAAUUGCCAAAUUUAUUCAGACCAUCAUUUCUAUUGGCUUUAUUUUUGAAAAAAUUUCUACACAAAAUGUACUGGAAAAUAAAUAUUUAAAAAAAAAUUGAUAUUUUGAAAAAUGUUAUAUUUCAUAAUGUUAUGGCAUAGAGACAAUACCAUAGAGCUACAAAGUCGCCGCUAAAAGGUUGCUCGCAGUAAAGAGAGACAGAUAAAGUAGGUGCGUAUAGCUAUUAGAGAGAGAAAGAGA